CUCUACGGUAUAUUCGUCGUCGUCUUCGUCUUUUUCCUGCCCUUCGAAGCAGUCUUCCCUCUCUCGGUACUUAUCUGCCUUAAAAAGCGGAGAAGAAGUUCCUUAAUAGAAUUCUCCUUUCGUGCAAUUUGGUUUCUUUCUGCGGAUUCAAGAUACCGCCGAAGGAAUCGGAGACCCUCCGCAACGGAUUUACAAGGUUUUCCUUAUCUCGUAUGAGACAAUUCCUUUCCCCUAGGAUAAUUACUAUUACUAUGAGGUGAAUUUGUGCCUUGAUUAUGUGGAACCGCACAAUUGUUCACGGAUGAGGAAGUUCUUUUCAUUCAGAUCGGUGGAAUCUAGCAGUCCAAAUGGCAAUUCUCUACAUCCAGGUCAUUCAUUUUCUGAUGACUUGGUCUGUUGUGAGAAAUUAGGGGACAGUCAUUCAAACUUUUCACUGCGUGAGAAGGUCCAUGAUCAUUCCCAGACAGUGAAAGACAGCACUCUUAGCCCUCAAUAUCCAGAAAAUGAAGAUUCAUCUCAUUUACUUCUUAGAAGAAGCUUUUCACUAUCAUCCUGUGCCAUGAACGGCGGUGGCUUCAGAGAUGGAAAUCUUAUUUCUUCGAGUGAUUUGAGCAGACCAGCAUCUAGUAGUGGCAAUUCACCACAUCGUGCAUCUAGUUUCCGGAUGCACUGCCAUCCACUGACACAAGAGAGAUCUACAAGACCUAGAAGCUGUGAACAGCCUCCAUCUCAGCAUUUUCAUGCUGUUCAGAAAUAUAGUUCUCUUAAAUCAUUAAGAGAAUGUGAAAUUCCAUCAAAUUCACCAAACAGUUCUCCAGUUCCUUCAAGAUGCAAUGUGGUUCACCUAUCAUGUUUUCCAAAAGGAAAUGGACUUCUUGACCAGUACAUUGAUGCAGAGGAUCAGGAAGUUCAACCUGAGACACAUACCGAAAAAUGUUUAUCUGAAUCUGGAAUUAACUGUUCCUUGGCAGAGAAUCAAGCAUAUCCAAGUGCAGGAAGUCCACAACAAUUUUGGUCUGUGGCACUGUCUUCACCAAUGUGCAGGAAAGAGAAUUCUAAAACUUUAUCAGUUAGGGAGGAGAUUGAUUCGUCUCAUCACCCAUCUGCACGAAAUUGGGCAAGAGAUGAUUAUGAGACAGUAUCCACAUCAAGAUGCAUACAAAAGAGUAUUAAUAAGUCAUCACAUCCAUUUCAUGGAAGAUUAUCAAUGAAUGCCCGAGAUUAUGACUCUGAAAGUACUACUACCUUUGAGGAUAUUUACAUGGAUUCAUUUGAAAUGCAGCCUACUUUGCAUUCAGAUGACACUGUGCAACAUUUUUCAAUCGAUGACCAUUCAAGUUACAAGAAUUUAACUGGUCAUUUUGCUCAGGAUUUAUUGGGGCUUGAGAAGUAUGAUUGUUUUCUUGAAAAUGGAGCAACGAGCACUAGAAAUGGUAAAGCAAUGAGUUCUGGGCUACAAGAUACAGAUGAAGUGUUGCAUAAAAAGUUGAAAGAGGUAGAUAGGAUGAUUGAGCUCCUACCUGACGAGGACUUUGAUCUUGAGGAACUUCAGAGUGGUGAUUCGAACGUGCCUUCAUUGUUUCAAGCAAUUGAAAAUAUUAAAGAAGUCAGGAAAUUCUUGGUGCUAGAGCUCUCAGUACAAAUAAAAUGCAGACUUGCAGAAAGGCAUGCUGCAAAAGGGCAUUUGAGACGAGCUAGGAUAGAUCUCAAGACUCAAACUAGAAGGCUGGAACAGGAGAAGAAUGAACUUCAGUUUAUUUUAGAGAAAGAACUAGAUAGAAGGUCAAGCAGCUGGUCCAUGAAGUUUGAAAAGAUUCAGUUGGAAGAGCAGUGGCUCCGGGAACGGGUAAGGGAACUGGCAGAGCAAAAUAUGUCUUUUCAGAGAGAAAUUUCUUCACUUAAAGGCAUUAAAGGGGAUAGUCAAACUAGGGUUGUGGAUUCUGAAAUAGAACUAACUAAUCUAACAGCAACUUUGGAGCAACUAGGAAUAGAGAAUUACAAUCUUCAGAAAGGCUUCUCAGAGCUGCAGGAGCACUUCGAUGCAACUGAAAAGGAUCGGGAUUGUAUCAGAAGAUGCUUACGUGAGAAAGAAAGGGAGAACAAGGAGUUGCAAAAGUUAGUUGUACGUUUACAGCGAACAAUCAAUGAACAAGAAAAGACUAUUAAUGGAUUGCGGAAAGGAUUUAGUGAUGAGACUGAAAAUAAAGCUACAGAUGGAAGUGACCAAUUAAGGAUGUUGCAGAUGGAGCAGCUAAGGUUGACAGGACUUGAACAGAAACUGAGGAAGGAGUUAAAGACUUUCAAGCAUGAAGUAGAGACACUCAGGCAUGAGAACAUUGGCCUAUUGACUCGUUUACGAGCUGCUGGAGAUGGCCAUCAGUUCUCAUCGAUUAAGCUAGACGAGGAGCUUCAUGCUCGACUAGAUUGCUUGCAGACUGAGGGCUUGUCCUUGCUCACUGACAUUAGUCACUUCAGUAACAAUUUGUUAGGAUGCCUUAGGCACAAACAAUAUGAACAUGGACAGGAGGAUGAAAAUAACACUGAUGGAUAUUCAUUUAUCGAUUAUAUUAUCAAAAGCCAGAGUUUUAGCAGACGAUAUGAAAAUUUUAGAACGAGUUUACAAACUAUAGCAACAAUUUUGGAUGAGAAGUCAGAUUUACAAGCUACAGAACGCCAGUCACUGUCAACAGAAUUUGGCAUGUCAAGGCAGUCAGAGGAUGAAUUAGAAGCUAAAUUGAAGGCCGAGAUUAUCUUGACUAGAUUACUACGAGAGAAACUGCAUUCAAAUGAAUUGGAAUUCGAGCAACUAGAGGCAGAUUUGGCUUCCUCUGUUCGGGUUCAUGAUGUCAUGCAAACUGAGAUCCAGAGGAUGCAAGAUGAAGUCUCUUGCCUUACCCACAAGACAAUGGACAUGGAGCUUAAGAUGCUGCAGAAAGAUGAAAGCAUUAAGCAGCUUGAGAAUGAGUAUCAGGAGUGCACAAAGGAACUAACUGCGGCUCGAAAUAUAUGUUUGAAGAUAACUGAGGAGAGAAACCAUAUGUGGGAAGAAGUGAAAAGUUCAAAAGAGAAGAUCAUGCUUCUUAAUUAUGAAGUUCUUUCUCUUAGAAAGAAGAUUGAAGAACUUGAAGAAGACAUUCUUACCAAGGAGGGGCAGAUUGCUAUCUUGAGAGAUAGCCUUGAGAAGCCAUUUGACAUCCUCUGUGCAUAGUCCUGGAUCAGUGAAAAGAAUUUCACUGGGAUGAGUUAUGAUGAAGUUCUCGGGCAGUGAUAUCUUCUCUGCCAUCUAGUUUUAGUUAUCUUGGAUUUGCUACAGAGCUAUGUUUACAUAAGACUGUACUGGUGAUGCUGAAUGAUGGAGGGGUCAUAUAUGCUGGUUCCGAUAAAAGUAGAUCAUAUCGAAAAGCUUUCAGAUUCUGAAUAUACCAUAUUUCAUAUUUUCUCCGCUUCUGAAAUCUUCAUAAACCAUUGAAGGUUUCAUUGUAAAAUGUUAAAAAUGCAGGUAUAAGCUCUACCAAUAUUUCAAAUGCAGUAAUAGCUGAUGUAGUCAAAGAAAUGGUGAUUCUUGUUAUACUGUAAUUAAUGCCUUAAGAGUUGCUUACUAGUUUGUUCUACAGGUUAAUGAUCUUUGGUCAUGCUGAUGUUAAGAAUGAUGAGAAUUAGAUGAUC
This is an RNA transcript of Musa acuminata subsp. malaccensis (wild Malaysian banana), 3666 nucleotides long. RefSeq lists it as uncharacterized. NCBI's taxonomy places the organism in Eukaryota, Viridiplantae, Streptophyta, Magnoliopsida, Zingiberales, Musaceae. The record is from RefSeq and is a predicted model, not a curated record.